Molecule: ribosomal RNA, 1933 nt
Filed under: Florenciella parvula
Lineage: Eukaryota; Dictyochophyceae; Florenciellales
Description: partial Bacterial large subunit ribosomal RNA
Rfam family: Bacterial large subunit ribosomal RNA
Source: RNAcentral
GAGCCGAUGAAGGACGUGAUAAUCUGCGAAAAGCUGCGGGGAGGAGCAAAUAUCCCUUGAUCCGCAGAUCUCCGAAUGGGGAAACCCACAUGAGAAGACCUCAUGGAUCCAUACGCCAAUCCAUAACGUAUGGAAGGGAACCCGGUGAACUGAAACAUCUAAGUAGCCGGAGGAAAAGAAAGAAAACUCGAUUCCGUCAGUAGCGGCGAGCGAAAGCGGAAGAGCCUAAACCAGCGUGCGUGCAUGCUGGGGUUACGGACUGCAUAAGUUACUGGAACCGAUAGUGGAAUGGUUUUGGGAAAGCCAGCCAGAGAGGGUGAAAGCCCCGUACACGAAAUUGCGACCAGGACAGCAGGAUCCAAAGUACCGCGAGACACGUGGAACCUUGCGGGAAGUCGGGGGGACCACCCCCCAAGGCUAAAUACUCCUUAGUGACCGAUAGCGCAUAGUACUGUGAAGGAAAGGUGAAAAGGACCCCGGGAGGGGAGUGAAAGAGAACCUGAAACCCUGUGUUUACAAGCUGUGGAAGUACUUUAAAUGUACGACCGCGUACUUUUUGUAGAACGGUCCGGCGAGUUACGCUGGCUGGCGAGGUUAAAUCCUAAAGGGAUGGAGCCGAAGGGAAACCAAGUCUUAAGAGGGCGCCAUAGUCAGUCAGAGUAGACCCGAAACCGGGUGAUCUAUCCAUGUCCAGGUUGAAGUUGCCGUAAAAGGCAAUGGAGGACCGAACCCACAUCCGUUGAAAAGGGUGGGGAUGAGGUGUGGAUAGGGGAGAAAUUCCAAUCGAACCCGGAGAUAGCUGGUUCUCCUCGAAAUAGCUUUAGGGCUAGCCUCGACAGAGUCUUGCGGAGGUAGAGCACUGAAUUUCCUAGGGGGCGUCAAAGCUUACCGAAGAAUAUCAAACUCCGAAUGCCGUGUAGAUGCUUGUCGGGAGUCAGACUAUACGAGAUAAGUUGGAUAGUCAAAAGGGAAAGAGCCCAGACCUCCAGCUAAGGUCCCAAAGUGCGUGUUAAGUGGAAAAGGAUGUGGGAUUUCGAAGACAACCAGGAUGUUGGCUCAGAAGCAGCCAUACAUUCAAAGAGUGCGUAAUAGCUCACUGGUCGAGAGGUCCUGCGCCGAAAAUGUCCGGGGCUAAAACACGCCACCGAAGCUGAGGAAUCCGAAAGGAUUGGUAGAGGAGCAUUGCAUAAGGGAAGAAGCAGUACCGGAAGGAGCUGUGGACUUUAUGGAAGAGAGAAUGCCGGAAUGAGUAGCGAGAGUAAGGUGAGAAUCCUUACGGCCGAAUAUCUAAGGUUUCCAGGGUAAAGCUGAUCUGCCCUGGGUAAGUCGGGGCCUAAGGCGAGGGCGAGAGCCGUAGUCGAUGGACAACAGGUUGAGAUUCCUGUACUACAGUAAGACAGAACUGUGGGGACAUAUGUGGAGAGCAUGGGCGCGGAAUGGAAAGCCGCGUGCAAGCGGGGUACCGGUCUGGUAGGCAAAUCCGCCAGAUAACGGGAAUCCGUGAUGCGGACCGAAAAAGAGUAGGGAAGCAUGUGAGCCAUGUAUCAAGAAAAGCCGCUAUUGUUCUUAUUGUACCCGUACCGUAAACCGACACAGGUGGAUGAGGAGAGAAUCCUAAGGCCGACGGAAGAAGCAUUGUCAAGGAACUCGGCAAAAUGACCCCGUAACUUCGGGAGAAGGGGUGCCAGGGGAACCUGGCCGCAGAGAAUAGGCUCAAGCAACUGUUUAGCAAAAACACAGGUCUAUGCGAAACCGAAAGGUGAGGUAUAUGGGCUGACGCCUGCCCGGUGCUGGAAGGUUAAGAGGAGAGGUUAGCGGUAACGCGAAGCUUUGAAUUUAAGCCCCAGUAAACGGCGGCCGUAACUAUAACGGUCCUAAGGUAGCGAAAUUCCUUGUCGGGUAAGUUCCGACUCGCACGAAAGGUGUAAUGAUU